UCCCCGAUAGCUCAGUUGGCUAGAGCGUUCGACUGUUACCAGCAUUGCUGUAAUGGUUCUUCUUCAAGAUAUCGAGAGGUCGAUGGUUCGAGUACGUUACUCUUCUCUUAGGAG
Non-coding RNA from Lophiotrema nucula, 114 nucleotides. Lineage: Eukaryota; Fungi; Ascomycota; Dothideomycetes; Pleosporales; Lophiotremataceae. The record is from the annotation of a GenBank genome assembly.